RNAcentral lists this ribosomal RNA (1305 nucleotides) under Sphaerozoum armatum. RNAcentral's name for it is "SSU rRNA". It matches the Rfam family "Eukaryotic small subunit ribosomal RNA", at positions 94 to 1441 of the family's 1831-position model. The record is from RNAcentral. Lineage: Eukaryota; Polycystinea; Collodaria; Sphaerozoidae.
UGGCUCAUUAUAACAGUUAUUAUAUUAUUGAGAUUAUUUUAUAGGUGGAUACUUAUGAGAAAAUUAUUAAAAAUAUAUGAUUUUAAAAUAUUUAUUUAUUUGGCAUUUAUUUGCUUUCAAACCAAAAUGUUUUAUCAUUAUGGAUGAUUCAUAGUAAUGUUUGGAGAACGCUUCGAUAUGCGGCAGAUCUUCACGGUUUCUGACCUAUCAGUUAGUCAGUAGUGUACUGGACUACUGAAGCGUUGACGGGUAACAGAGAAUUAGGGUUCUGUUCCGGAGAAGGAGCCUGAGAAACAGCUACUAUAUCUAAGGAACGCAGCAGGCGCGUAAAUUACCCAAUUCUGAUAAAGAGAGGUAGUGAUAAGAAAUCACAAUAUUUUACCUUAGGGUUAAGUAAUUGAAUUGAGAACACAGUAGCCAUAUUACCAAUAAACUAUUGGAGGGCAAGUCUGGUGCCAGCAGCUGCGGUAAUUCCAGCUCCAAUGGUGUAUGCUAAUAUUGUUGCAGUUAAAAAGCUCGUAGUCGAAUUUUUAAGAAAAUCAAUUUUAUGUGAUCCUAAUGAACAACAAAAAAAUAUGAUUUAUCUUAUUUUAUGCUUAUACACCUUUGAAAUUCAUUUUUUGAUGGUGGACUGAUUUUGUGUUUACUUUGAGAAAAUUAGAGUGUUCAAAACAGCCUUUGCGGAUUUAUAUUAAAGCAUGGAAUGAUAAAUAAUGACAUCGGCUAAUUUUUGUUGGGAUGAGGAGCUGAGGUAAUGAUUUAUAGAGUCAGUCGGAGGUAUUAGUAUUUUAUCGUUAGAAGUGAAACUCUCGGAUCGUUUAAAGACUAACAACUGCAAAAGCAUUUACCUAGAAUAUUCUCCUUGAUCAAGAACGUAAGUUGAGGGAUCGAAGACGAUCAGAUACCGUCGUAGUCUCAACUGUAAACUAUACCGGCUAGGGGUUAGCAAAUGUUUAUAUGCCAUUGUUAGAACCUUUGGAGAAAUCACAGCGUUUGGGUUCCGGGGGAAGUAUGGUUGCAAGGCUAAAACUUAAAGGAAUUGACGGAAGGGCACCACAAGAUGUGGAUUCUGUGGCUUAAUUUGACUCAACACUGGAAAACUUAUCAGGUCCAGACAUAGGUAGGAUUGACAGAUUGAUAGUUUUUUCUUGAUUCUAUGGGUGGUGGUGCAUGGCCGUUCUUAGUUGGUGAAGUGAUUUGUCUGGUUAAUUCCGUUAACGAACGAGACUUCCACAUGAUAAAUGGCACAAUUUUUACAUAGAAUCAUUGCUUCUUAUAGGGACUGGCUUUGCAUAAAUUGCUGGA